RNAcentral lists this long non-coding RNA (239 nucleotides) under Elaeis guineensis (African oil palm). Its description in RNAcentral is "long non-coding RNA (EGUI_LNC053702)". Lineage: Eukaryota; Viridiplantae; Streptophyta; Magnoliopsida; Arecales; Arecaceae. The record is from RNAcentral.
GAUAUAUAAUUUUGUAGGAUACCCCAAAGAAUCUAAGAAAUAUAACUUCUAUCUUAUUAAAGAACAAAAGUUGUUUGGCAUUCCUUUUAGAUAAAGAAGUACCUUGAUGAAGGAAUUGAUGCCUUUAAUGUGGAACUAGUAAAGUUCAACAAGUAGAAGAAUUGACACAAUCUAGUGAACCCAUAGAAUCAGAUUUGAUUAGAUCAAAUCCAAAAUCUAUUGUAGAGAGACCAUUAAGG